UACGGGGGGGGCAAGCGUUGUUCGGAAUUACUGGGCAUAAAGGGCUCGUAGGCUGCCAACUAAGUCAGACGUGAAAUCCCUCGGCUUAACCGGGGAACUGCGUCUGAUACUGGAUGGCUUGAGAUUGGGAGAGGGAUGCGGAAUUCCAGGUGUAGCGGUGAAAUGCGUAGAUAUCUGGAGGAACACCGGUGGCGAAGGCGGCAUCCUGGACCAACACUGACGCUGAGUGAGCGAAAGCCAGGGGAGCAAACGGG
This 254-nucleotide ribosomal RNA is filed under the name uncultured bacterium. Its description in RNAcentral is "partial 16S ribosomal RNA". It matches the Rfam family "Bacterial small subunit ribosomal RNA", at positions 524 to 776 of the family's 1533-position model. The record is from RNAcentral.